ACGGAAGGCAGCAGUGGGGAAUAUUGCACAAUGGGCGAAAGCCUGAUGCAGCGACGCCGCGUGAGUGAAGAAGUAUUUCGGUAUGUAAAGCUCUAUCAGCAGGGAAGAAAAAUGACGGUACCUGACUAAGAAGCACCGGCUAAAUACGUGCCAGCAGCCGCGGUAAUACGUAUGGUGCAAGCGUUAUCCGGAUUUACUGGGUGUAAAGGGAGCGCAGGCGGUACGGCAAGUCUGAUGUGAAAGCCCGGGGCUCAACCCCGGUACUGCAUUGGAAACUGUCGAACUAGAGCGUCGGAGGGGUAAGCGGAAUUCCUAGUGUAGCGGUGAAAUGCGUAGAUAUUAGGAGGAACACCAGUGGCGAAGGCGGCUUACUGGACGAUAACUGACGCUGAGGCUCGAAAGCGUGGGGAGCAAACAGGAUUAGAUACCCUGGUA
RNAcentral lists this ribosomal RNA (435 nucleotides) under uncultured Lachnospiraceae bacterium. Its description in RNAcentral is "bacterial SSU rRNA". It matches the Rfam family "Bacterial small subunit ribosomal RNA", at positions 341 to 792 of the family's 1533-position model. The record is from RNAcentral. Lineage: Bacteria; Bacillati; Bacillota; Clostridia; Lachnospirales; Lachnospiraceae.